AUUGAACGCUGGCGGCACGCUUUACACAUGCAAGUCGAACGGUAACAGGCCGCAAGGUGCUGACGAGUGGCGAACGGGUGCGUAAUGCAUCGGAACGUGCCCAGUCGUGGGGGAUAACUACUCGAAAGAGUAGCUAAUACCGCAUACGAUCUAUGGAUGAAAGCGGGGGACCGUAAGGCCUCGCGCGAUUGGAGCGGCCGAUGUCAGAUUAGGUAGUUGGUGGGGUAAAGGCUCACCAAGCCAACGAUCUGUAGCUGGUCUGAGAGGACGACCAGCCACACUGGGACUGAGACACGGCCCAGACUCCUACGGGAGGCAGCAGUGGGGAAUUUUGGACAAUGGGCGCAAGCCUGAUCCAGCAAUGCCGCGUGCAGGAAGAAGGCCUUCGGGUUGUAAACUGCUUUUGUACGGAACGAAACGGCUCUGGUUAAUACCCGGGGCUAAUGACGGUACCGUAAGAAUAAGCACCGGCUAACUACGUG
This 482-nucleotide ribosomal RNA is filed under the name uncultured bacterium. Its description in RNAcentral is "partial 16S ribosomal RNA". It matches the Rfam family "Bacterial small subunit ribosomal RNA", at positions 30 to 507 of the family's 1533-position model. The record is from RNAcentral.